CCUACGGGAGGCAGCAGUAGGGAAUAUUGGGCAAUGGGCGGAAGCCUGACCCAGCCAUGCCGCGUGAAGGAAGACGGCCUUAUGGGUUGUAAACUUCUUUACUAUGCGACUAACUAGAUUUACGAGAUAAUUCUAUAGAAUGUAGCAUAGCAAAAAGCACCGGCUAACUCCGUGCCAGCAGCCGCGGUAAUACGGAGGGUGCGAGCGUUAUUCGGAAUUACUGGGUUUAAAGGGUGCGUAGGCGGCUAAGUAAGUUGUCAUUGAAAGGCUACAGCUCAACUGUAGUAGUGGUGGCGAUACUGCUUAGCUAAGAACAUGGGAGGGGUACUUGGAAUGUGUGGUGUAGCGGUGAAAUGCGUAGAUAUCACACAGAACACCAGAGGCGAAGGCGGAGUACUAGACCAUAGUUGACGCUGAGGCACGAAAGCGUGGGGAUCAAACAGGAUUAGAUACCCUGGUAGUCCACGCCCUAAACGAUGAUCACUAAAUAUUGGCGACAAACAGUCAGUGUCCAAGCGAAAGUGAUAAGUGAUCCACCUGGGGACUACGGCCGCAAGGUUAAAACUCAAAUGAAUUGACGG
Molecule: ribosomal RNA, 581 nt
Filed under: uncultured bacterium
Lineage: Bacteria
Description: bacterial SSU rRNA
Rfam family: Bacterial small subunit ribosomal RNA
Source: RNAcentral